RNAcentral lists this ribosomal RNA (534 nucleotides) under Paenibacillus sp. Its description in RNAcentral is "bacterial SSU rRNA". It matches the Rfam family "Bacterial small subunit ribosomal RNA", at positions 94 to 613 of the family's 1533-position model. Lineage: Bacteria; Bacillati; Bacillota; Bacilli; Caryophanales; Paenibacillaceae. The record is from RNAcentral.
AGCGGCGGACGGGUGAGUAACACGUAGGCAACCUGCCUGUAAGAUCGGGAUAACUACCGGAAACGGUAGCUAAGACCGGAUAGCUGGUUUCUCCGCAUGGGGGAAUCAUGAAACAUGGGGCAACCUGUGGCUUACGGAUGGGCCUGCGGCGCAUUAGCUAGUUGGUGGGGUAAUGGCCCACCAAGGCGACGAUGCGUAGCCGACCUGAGAGGGUGAUCGGCCACACUGGGACUGAGACACGGCCCAGACUCCUACGGGAGGCAGCAGUAGGGAAUCUUCCGCAAUGGGCGCAAGCCUGACGGAGCAACGCCGCGUGAGUGAUGAAGGUUUUCGGAUCGUAAAGCUCUGUUGCCAAGGAAGAACGCCUCGGAGAGUAACUGCUCUGAGGGUGACGGUACUUGAGAAGAAAGCCCCGGCUAACUACGUGCCAGCAGCCGCGGUAAUACGUAGGGGGGCAAGCGUUGUCCGGAAUUAUUGGGCGUAAAGCGCGCGCAGGCGGUCUUUUAAGUUUGGUGUUUAAGCCCGGGGCUCAAC